AGCUGGCUGAAGCCGGGCCAAAU
Molecule: microRNA, 23 nt
Filed under: Ixodes scapularis (black-legged tick)
Lineage: Eukaryota; Metazoa; Arthropoda; Arachnida; Ixodida; Ixodidae
Description: Isc-Mir-133_5p* (star (passenger))
Source: RNAcentral